Molecule: ribosomal RNA, 547 nt
Filed under: uncultured bacterium
Lineage: Bacteria
Description: partial 16S ribosomal RNA
Rfam family: Bacterial small subunit ribosomal RNA
Source: RNAcentral
UGGGGAAUAUUGCACAAUGGGCGAAAGCCUGAUGCAGCAACGCCGCGUGAGUGAUGAAGGCCUUCGGGUUGUAAAGCUCUGUCUUUUGGGACGAUAAUGACGGUACCAAAGGAGGAAGCCACGGCUAACUACGUGCCAGCAGCCGCGGUAAUACGUAGGUGGCAAGCGUUGUCCGGAUUUACUGGGCGUAAAGGAUGCGUAGGCGGAUUUUUAAGUGAGAUGUGAAAACCCUAAGCUUAACUUGGGGACUGCAUUUCAUACUGGAAAUCUAGAGUGCGGGAGAGGAGAAUGGAAUUCCUAGUGUAGCGGUGAAAUGCGUAGAGAUUAGGAAGAACACCAGUGGCGAAGGCGAUUCUCUGGACCGUAACUGACGCUGAGGCAUGAAAGCGUGGGUAGCAAACAGGAUUAGAUACCCUGGUAGUCCACGCCGUAAACGAUGAGUACUAGGUGUAGGAGGUAUCGACCCCUUCUGUGCCGCAGUUAACACAAUAAGUACUCCGCCUGGGAAGUACGAUCGCAAGAUUAAAACUCAAAUGAAUUGACGGGG